AAGUCGUAACAAGGUCUCCGUUGGUGAACCAGCGGAGGGAUCAUUACAGAGUUAUCUAACUCCCAAACCCAUGUGAACUUACCUUUGUUGCCUCGGCAGUAGUUGCUGGGCGAGCCUACCUGGGAACGAGCUAUUCUGUAGCGAGUUACCCUGGAACGACUUACCCUGGAACGCCUGCCGGUGGACUACUAAACUCUUGUUAUUUUUAAGUAAUCUGAGCGUCUUAUUUUAAUAAGUCAAAACUUUCAACAACGGAUCUCUUGGUUCUG
RNAcentral lists this unclassified non-coding RNA (269 nucleotides) under Bartalinia robillardoides. Its description in RNAcentral is "partial internal transcribed spacer region". The stretch from base 1 to 46 matches the Rfam family "Eukaryotic small subunit ribosomal RNA", at positions 1786 to 1831 of the family's 1831-position model. Lineage: Eukaryota; Fungi; Ascomycota; Sordariomycetes; Amphisphaeriales; Sporocadaceae. The record is from RNAcentral.